AACGUAGGAGACAAACGUUAUCCGGAGUUACUGGGCGUAAAGGGCGUGUAGGUGGUUUUGUAAGUCUGGCGUGAAAUAUCUCGGCUUAACCGAGGCAGGUCGUCGGAUACUGCAAGACUAGAGGACGGUAGAGGCGUGUGGAAUUCCUGGUGUAGCGGUGAAAUGCGCAGAUAUCAGGAGGAACACCGAUGGCGAAGGCAGGUCUCUGGGCCACUACUGACGCUGAGAAGCGAAAGCAUGGGGAGCGAACAGG
Molecule: ribosomal RNA, 253 nt
Filed under: uncultured bacterium
Lineage: Bacteria
Description: partial 16S ribosomal RNA
Rfam family: Bacterial small subunit ribosomal RNA
Source: RNAcentral